Molecule: long non-coding RNA, 746 nt
Organism: Pseudophryne corroboree (corroboree frog)
Lineage: Eukaryota; Metazoa; Chordata; Amphibia; Anura; Myobatrachidae
Exons: 3
Source: RefSeq, a predicted model, not a curated record
UUCCCCAUGGUCCUUACGGAGUUCCCAGCAUCCACUAGGACGUCAGAGAAAUAUAAUAGAAGCAGUGUGCCCGACUCCUCUGCCAGACACACCGCUGAUAACGCAUGAAGUUCGGGCUGCAUGCCUAUGCACUUUCAGAGAACAUAACCUAACAAGUGCAAAGACCUGAGCACUGGCUGCAGCACUGCCGACAUCUGCAGCACAAGCAAGAAGGAUAAUGGAAGGACGAAUGGCAGCAGUUAGGUGUGUAACCAUGGUGACUGGGGCCGGUCGGGUGACGUCACUUCCGGUGCGCCGGGGGACCCGCGGCCGGAAGCCCCACUGCUGAACGGCGUCCACGAGUGCCUGGGGACACACUGGAGGAAGGAGGACACACCGAGAGAUUCCGUCUUAUGGGCAGAGUUAUUGGAGUGGCACCAUACACCUAGCAUGGGGAUGGUGAACGUCUAGAUGGAGCUGCUGAAGUGGGUGUCCCAGGACAUCGACAGUCAGAUGCCUGGCUAUACAUACUGUAUAUAUACUGGAAUUACCAUAAAGCCACGACUACAGCAAAUGAUGAUAACACUGUGGCUGCAGCGUUCUCCUCAGAAUCAGCACCUGGAUUAUUGACCAUAAACAUUUCCGUGGAUUUUUCUGCUGGACCAACAUUUUCAGGAUUUAAUACAUUUUCUGUCUUAUUUAUUUAUACAUAUUUAUUGUUUUCUUUCUCAUUUAAACAAGCCCUUUGUAUUCAAUUUAUAUGUUAU